AGUGAACGCUGGCGGUAGGCCUAACACAUGCAAGUCGAACGGCAGCACAGUAAGAGCUUGCUCUUACGGGUGGCGAGUGGCGGACGGGUGAGGAAUACAUCGGAAUCUACUUUUUCGUGGGGGAUAACGUAGGGAAACUUACGCUAAUACCGCAUACGACCUACGGGUGAAAGCAGGGGAUCUUCGGACCUUGCGCGAUUGAAUGAGCCGAUGUCGGAUUAGCUAGUUGGCGGGGUAAAGGCCCACCAAGGCGACGAUCCGUAGCUGGUCUGAGAGGAUGAUCGGCCACACUGGAACUGAGACACGGUCCAGACUCCUACGGGAGGCAGCAGUGGGGAAUAUUGGACAAUGGGCGCAAGCCUGAUCCAGCCAUACCGCGUGGGUGAAGAAGGCCUUCGGGUUGUAAAGCCCUUUUGUUGGGAAAGAAAAGCAGCAGGUUAAUACCCCGCUGUUCUGACGGUACGCAAAGAAUAAGCACCGGCUAACUUCGUG
Molecule: ribosomal RNA, 492 nt
Filed under: uncultured bacterium
Lineage: Bacteria
Description: partial 16S ribosomal RNA
Rfam family: Bacterial small subunit ribosomal RNA
Source: RNAcentral